RNAcentral lists this ribosomal RNA (494 nucleotides) under uncultured bacterium. RNAcentral's name for it is "partial 16S ribosomal RNA". It matches the Rfam family "Bacterial small subunit ribosomal RNA", at positions 28 to 507 of the family's 1533-position model. The record is from RNAcentral.
GACGAACGCUGGCGGCGUGCUUAACCCAUGCAAGUCGAACGGUGAAGCGCCUUCCUUUUUGGUGGGUGUGGAUGAGUGGCGAACGGGUGAGUAACACGUGAGUAACCUGCCCCCUUCUUCUGGAUAACCGCAUGAAAGUGUGGCUAAUACGGGAUAUUCUGGGUCUGUCGCAUGAUGGGUCUGGGAAAGAUAUUGUUUCGGUGGGGGAUGGGCUCGCGGCCUAUCAGCUUGUUGGUGGGGUGAUGGCCUACCAAGGCGGUGUCGGGUAGCCGGCCUGAGAGGGUGGACGGUCACACUGGGACUGAGACACGGCCCAGACUCCUACGGGAGGCAGCAGUGGGGAAUAUUGCACAAUGGGCGCAAGCCUGAUGCAGCGACGCCGCGUGAGGGAUGGAGGCCUUCGGGUUGUGAACCUCUUUCGCCAGUGAAGCAGGCCUGCCUCGUUUGUGGGUGGGUUGACGGUAGCUGGAUAAGAAGCGCCGGCUAACUACGUG